UGGGGAAUAUUGCACAAUGGGCGCAAGCCUGAUGCAGCCAUGCCGCGUGUGUGAAGAAGGCAUUCGGGUUGUAAAGCACUUUCAGCGGGGAGGAAGGCGUUAAGGUUAAUAACCUUGGCGAUUGACGUUACCCGCAGAAGAAGCACCGGCUAACUCCGUGCCAGCAGCCGCGGUAAUACGGAGGGUGCAAGCGUUAAUCGGAAUUACUGGGCGUAAAGCGCACGCAGGCGGUCUGUCAAGUCGGAUGUGAAAUCCCCGGGCUCAACCUGGGAACUGCAUUCGAAACUGGCAGGCUAGAGUCUUGUAGAGGGGGGUAGAAUUCCAGGUGUAGCGGUGAAAUGCGUAGAGAUCUGGAGGAAUACCGGUGGCGAAGGCGGCCCCCUGGACAAAGACUGACGCUCAGGUGCGAAAGCGUGGGGAGCAAACAGG
RNAcentral lists this ribosomal RNA (429 nucleotides) under Chloroflexota bacterium. RNAcentral's name for it is "Chloroflexi bacterium partial 16S ribosomal RNA". It matches the Rfam family "Bacterial small subunit ribosomal RNA", at positions 355 to 776 of the family's 1533-position model. Lineage: Bacteria; Bacillati; Chloroflexota. The record is from RNAcentral.